AUGGCUGGAAACAAUCCAACAGCAUUUCACUAUAUCAAUUCAAGUUCAGUUUACAAAUGAUGAAGCUCUCUUUUUAUAGGCAAAGAUGAGCUUGGAAAUGUACAAUGAAAGCUACAUCAGCUACAUUUGAAACGUGCAGAAUCCAAACGUGCAGGAGCUCCUUCCAGGCCAUGUGUUUCAUUUGCACUUUAUUGAAAAUGUGCUGAAUUAGGGAAGCCACAUGGUUGGCUUGUGUUCCACGUGAUGCACAUGUAAAAUGUACUUCCAACUUGGCUAUUUGGUGACUAACAGCAGCAAGGCUUCUCGGCUGUUUGCUAUAGGUUCCAAGUCUUCCUUAGGAUGUGUACACAUGGUUUCCCCACCUUUAUUGGUGACCUAUAAAACAAA
RNAcentral lists this small RNA (387 nucleotides) under Vigna angularis var. angularis. Its description in RNAcentral is "Non-protein coding transcript". Lineage: Eukaryota; Viridiplantae; Streptophyta; Magnoliopsida; Fabales; Fabaceae. The record is from RNAcentral.